This 603-nucleotide ribosomal RNA is filed under the name Planktothrix mougeotii LEGE 06224. RNAcentral describes it as "bacterial SSU rRNA". It matches the Rfam family "Bacterial small subunit ribosomal RNA", at positions 111 to 747 of the family's 1533-position model. Lineage: Bacteria; Bacillati; Cyanobacteriota; Cyanophyceae; Oscillatoriales; Microcoleaceae. The record is from RNAcentral.
GAACGCGUGAGAACCUGCCUCUUGGCCGGGGACAACAGUUGGAAACGGCUGCUAAUCCCGGAUGAGCCGAAAGGUAAAAGAUUAAUCGUCAAGAGAGGGGCUUGCGUCUGAUUAGCUAGUUGGUAGUGUAAGAGACUACCAAGGCGACGAUCAGUAGCUGGUCUGAGAGGAUGAUCAGCCACACUGGGACUGAGACACGGCCCAGACUCCUACGGGAGGCAGCAGUGGGGAAUUUUCCGCAAUGGGCGAAAGCCUGACGGAGCAAGACCGCGUGGGGGAGGAAGGUUGUUGGAUUGUCAACCCCUUUUCUCAGGGAAGAAGAAAGUGACGGUACCUGAGGAAGAAGCAUCGGCUAACUCCGUGCCAGCAGCCGCGGUAAUACGGAGGAUGCAAGCGUUAUCCGGAAUGAUUGGGCGUAAAGAGUCCGUAGGUGGCCCUUCAAGUCUGCUGUUAAAGACCGAGGCUCAACUUCGGAAAAGCAGUGGAAACUGGAGAGCUAGAGUGUGGUAGGGGCAGAGGGAAUUCCUGGUGUAGCGGUGAAAUUCGUAGAGAUCAGGAAGAACACCGGUGGCGAAAGCGCUCAGCUGGCCACUAACUGACACU